GAAGUCGUUACUUCAACCCUCUGGGAGGAGGACGCCGAAGGUGGGGCUGAUGACUGGGGUGAAGUCGUAACAAGGUAGCCGUACCGGAAGGUGCGGCUGGAUCACCCCCUAACAGGGAGAACCAACCUCAAAUGAUGAUCACCACUUUUUAGUGAUCCAUUUGACUGUUCAUUCCUAUGGUCGAUCGGUACCUCAGUGAGUGUUUUUCACUCAUCUCGGUCCUUAAGCUUGUCUAGGUCACCACCCCUUAGCUGUUAAGCUUCGUGGGAUGGGCCCGAGAGGGUUCCUGGGCCAUUAGCUCAGGUGGUUAGAGCGCACCCCUGAUAAGGGUGAGGUCCCUGGUUCAAGUCCAGGAUGGCCCAUCGGGAUUGGGGGUUUAGCUCAGCUGGUAGAGCGCCUGCUUUGCAAGCAGGAUGUCAGCGGUUCGAGUCCGCUAACCUCCAUCAAUUCUGAUGUGGGAAACGGCAGAACGUGAUGGUGAUCUAGAGGAAGGUUUGUUGGUGAAUCCAGCCUCGUUUGAUACUCGGUAGUCGAGCUCAAAUGAUGCUGGACUCAGCAAUAGGUUCAGCAAGAACCUUGACAACUGCAUAGGUGAGUCUGGAAAUAAGCAUCUCACAGAGAUGAUCCAGACAUUGAUUGAUGAUUUUGGUCAUCAAUGGAUGGAUGGAUUGUUAAUUCUGUGGAAGCCGAGAUCCAGUUGACUUGUCAACUGGAGAGUGAAAAUGGUCAAGCUACAAAGGGCUCACGGCGGAUACCUUGGCACACAGAGGCGAUGAA
RNAcentral lists this unclassified non-coding RNA (777 nucleotides) under uncultured cyanobacterium. RNAcentral describes it as "partial contains 16S ribosomal RNA, 16S-23S ribosomal RNA intergenic spacer, and 23S ribosomal RNA". The stretch from base 1 to 112 matches the Rfam family "Bacterial small subunit ribosomal RNA", at positions 1423 to 1533 of the family's 1533-position model. The record is from RNAcentral. Lineage: Bacteria; Bacillati; Cyanobacteriota.